Nannospalax galili (Upper Galilee mountains blind mole rat) is the source of this 1398-nucleotide long non-coding RNA. RefSeq lists it as uncharacterized. NCBI's taxonomy places the organism in Eukaryota, Metazoa, Chordata, Mammalia, Rodentia, Spalacidae. The transcript has 3 exons. The record is from RefSeq and is a predicted model, not a curated record.
CACACUCGCACACACGCAGAGGCACGGGGGGGAAAGAAGCCGAUGAAUAAUUUUGCUAUUUUUUUUUAAAUACUGGCCGCCAUCAUCAUGCAGCGAGCAGCAGUCUGCUGGAAGGGAGAGGAGGCAUGGGGCAGGCCCCUGUAGAAGCGGAUUUAUAUCUAGUUGGGAAAAAAAGAAAGAAAAGAAAAAGAAGAAAAAGAAGAAAAAAAAAUUAUCAAGCCCCCGAACUGAAGGUUAGGAGCGACCCGUCAGCAGCCCACAUGUAACCGAACUGUCGUGUUUCAUGGCUUUUUGCCACUCCAGCUGUCAAUCAAAGCCCGGAAUGUCAAGGUAGUGAAUGAAUGAUGGUUGAUGAUGAUGAAGAGGAGGAAUCUUUCAGACCGGAUUUUUUUUUUCUUCCAGUAAAACUCCGCGAGGGGUUUCUGCUUCUUGAAUUUUUCCUCCCCCCUCCCCCCCUCUUUUAGCUUUGCCCCGAAAUAGCUCUAAUAUGAUCCUCUCUCUUUAAAGUAUUGUUCAAAGAAGUCAAGGAGAAAAAAAAUCAAGAAAAAAUUAAUAGUUUGCAAAAAUUGGACUUCCUCCCCCCCUUUCCUGGAUUCCAGCCCAGUCUUAUAGGAAAAACAGGACCAUUGCUGCAAUCGCUGCGAGGAUGUGAUUUUGUUUCUGUAAGGCUUAAAGCGCUUUUCAUUAUCCUUUUAAUGUAUUUAAAUAGGCCUGUUUGGACACUCAAAGAAGCUACCAACACAAAGAUGGUUUGGCCGUCAAUCCCAGCAUUAAAAAAAAAAAAAAUCUGAGACGUUUUUACAUACCCAUCCUUGCCUUAAAUAAAUACAUAAAUAAAUAGUGCAAGGCAAAAGAAAGUUUGCAGUUUGCCUCUGCGCCUCUUGGUGUGCGCAUCUAUAAACAUCUUCGCGUCCGUGUUUGCGCGGAACCUCCCUCCCCACACUCUCAAAAGCAGAGCAUCCAGGGAUCGCCCCCAGAGAGCUGUGUUUACGUAGUUUUUUUUUUUUUUUUAAAUCUCUCCGCCAUGUAUGACAAGUGUUACUUCAAGAAAUUCAUCAGCCUUCUCCAGAUACUUCCAGUUUUGCCGUCAUGAUCUGCAGAAGAAAACUGCCAUCACUUUCUCACAUCUCAAGGUGUUGCAGGAACUCGGAAGGGAGAGUGGUUGCCUCGCUUAAUUACCAAGGGGAGGGCGGAGCACCUCGAGGGACGCUGGGCAGGUCUGGGGAGGAAAGGUGCGUGGCCAGGUGGGCACUUGCUGGGGUCGCCAGUAGGAGAAUAUUUGGACAAGGUAUGAUUGCCUCUUUUUUUUUUUUUUCUUUCCCUCUCCCAGUGCCUUUGGGGAGAAGUGAUACCCUCGUGUAACAAUUAGCUCAGACAAUAAAAAUAAUUGGAAAAUCA